Molecule: long non-coding RNA, 244 nt
Organism: Leucoraja erinaceus (little skate)
Lineage: Eukaryota; Metazoa; Chordata; Chondrichthyes; Rajiformes; Rajidae
Exons: 4
Source: RefSeq, a predicted model, not a curated record
UUGCCGCCCCCGCCCGCCCCCCCAGGGGAGGGAGAAGCAACCAAGAUGGCGCAGGCUCUAUCCGACGCCGAGUUCGAGCGGAUGCAGGCCCAGCUGUUGGAGCUGAGGACACAGAACUACCAGCUCGCCGACGAACUCCGCAAGCAAAACUCUGAGGUCAGCUCGCUGCGUCUGAGAUGCACCAACAUUGAGAAGGACCUGGCCAAGGCUCAGAAGGCUGUAACCAAAAGCAAGAAGGCUCAGG